Chrysemys picta bellii (western painted turtle) is the source of this 171-nucleotide unclassified non-coding RNA. Lineage: Eukaryota; Metazoa; Chordata; Testudines; Emydidae. The record is from Ensembl.
CUAAAAAUAACCAUGACAAAAUCUUAGCCUUAUCCAUGCAGCAGUUACAGCAGUGCAAGCUUCUCCACAUUCCCUUAUCAGUGUGCCUCAGCCCCAAUCUAGGAGGAGCUGCUGCUCUAGUUAGGGAGAGGGAGAUUAUCAGUCUUCAGGUUAUUUUAGAUCUUGACCUCU